UCAGCGGCGGACGGGUGAGUAAUGCCUAGGAAUCUGCCUGGUAGUGGGGGAUAACGUCCGGAAACGGGCGCUAAUACCGCAUACGUCCUGAGGGAGAAAGUGGGGGAUCUUCGGACCUCACGCUAUCAGAUGAGCCUAGGUCGGAUUAGCUAGUUGGUGGGGUAAAGGCCUACCAAGGCGACGAUCCGUAACUGGUCUGAGAGGAUGAUCAGUCACACUGGAACUGAGACACGGUCCAGACUCCUACGGGAGGCAGCAGUGGGGAAUAUUGGACAAUGGGCGAAAGCCUGAUCCAGCCAUGCCGCGUGUGUGAAGAAGGUCUUCGGAUUGUAAAGCACUUUAAGUUGGGAGGAAGGGCAGUAAGUUAACACCUUGCUGUUUUGACGUUACCAACAGAACAAGCACCGGCUAACUUCGUGCCAGCAGCCGCGGUAAUACGAAGGGUGCAAGCGUUAAUCGGAAUUACUGGGCGUAAAGCGCGCGUAGGUGGUUCAGCAAGUUGGAUGUGAAAUCCCCGGGCUCAACCUGGGAACUGCAUCCAAAACUACUGAGCUAGAGUACGGUAGAGGGUGGUGGAAUUUCCUGUGUAGCGGUGAAAUGCGUAGAUAUAGGAAGGAACACCAGUGGCGAAGGCGACCGCCUGGACUGAUACUGACACUGAGGUGCGAAAGCGUAGGGAGCAAACAGGAUUAGAUACCCUGGUAGUCCACGCCGUAAACGAUGUCGACUAGCCGUUGGGAUCCUUGAGAUCUUAGUGGCGCAGCUAACGCGAUAAGUCGACCGCCUGGGGAGUACGGCCGCAAGGUUAAAACUCAAAUGAAUUGACGGGGGCCCGCACAAGCGGUGGAGCAUGUGGUUUAAUUCGAAGCAACGCGAAGAACCUUACCUGGCCUUGACAUGCUGAGAACUUUCCAGAGAUGGAUUGGUGCCUUCGGGAACUCAGACACAGGUGCUGCAUGGCUGUCGUCAGCUCGUGUCGUGAGAUGUUGGGUUAAGUCCCGUAACGAGCGCAACCCUUGUCCUUAGUUACCAGCACCUCGGGUGGGCACUCUAAGGAGACUGCCGGUGACAAACCGGAGGAAGGUGGGGAUGACGUCAAGUCAUCAUGGCCCUUACGGCCAGGGCUACACACGUGCUACAAUGGUCGGUACAAAGGGUUGCCAAGCCGCGAGGUGGAGCUAAUCCCAUAAAACCGAUCGUAGUCCGGAUCGCAGUCUGCAACUCGACUGCGUGAAGUCGGAAUCGCUAGUAAUCGUGAAUCAGAAUGUCACGGUGAAUACGUUCCCGGGCCUUGUACACACCGCCCGUCACACCAUGGGAGUGGGUUGCUCCAGAAGUAGCUAGUCUAACCGCAAGGGGGACGGUUACCACGGAGUGAUUCAUGACUGGGGUGAAGUCGUAACAAGGU
RNAcentral lists this ribosomal RNA (1408 nucleotides) under uncultured bacterium. Its description in RNAcentral is "bacterial SSU rRNA". It matches the Rfam family "Bacterial small subunit ribosomal RNA". The record is from RNAcentral.